This 954-nucleotide ribosomal RNA is filed under the name Staphylococcus aureus. RNAcentral describes it as "bacterial SSU rRNA". It matches the Rfam family "Bacterial small subunit ribosomal RNA", at positions 1 to 935 of the family's 1533-position model. Lineage: Bacteria; Bacillati; Bacillota; Bacilli; Caryophanales; Staphylococcaceae. The record is from RNAcentral.
UUUUAUGGAGAGUUUGAUCCUGGCUCAGGAUGAACGCUGGCGGCGUGCCUAAUACAUGCAAGUCGAGCGAACGGACGAGAAGCUUGCUUCUCUGAUGUUAGCGGCGGACGGGUGAGUAACACGUGGAUAACCUACCUAUAAGACUGGGAUAACUUCGGGAAACCGGAGCUAAUACCGGAUAAUAUUUUGAACCGCAUGGUUCAAAAGUGAAAGACGGUCUUGCUGUCACUUAUAGAUGGAUCCGCGCUGCAUUAGCUAGUUGGUAAGGUAACGGCUUACCAAGGCAACGAUGCAUAGCCGACCUGAGAGGGUGAUCGGCCACACUGGAACUGAGACACGGUCCAGACUCCUACGGGAGGCAGCAGUAGGGAAUCUUCCGCAAUGGGCGAAAGCCUGACGGAGCAACGCCGCGUGAGUGAUGAAGGUCUUCGGAUCGUAAAACUCUGUUAUUAGGGAAGAACAUAUGUGUAAGUAACUGUGCACAUCUUGACGGUACCUAAUCAGAAAGCCAUGGCUAACUACGUGCCAGCAGCCGCGGUAAUACGUAGGUGGCAAGCGUUAUCCGGAAUUAUUGGGCGUAAAGCGCGCGUAGGCGGUUUUUUAAGUCUGAUGUGAAAGCCCACGGCUCAACCGUGGAGGGUCAUUGGAAACUGGAAAACUUGAGUGCAGAAGAGGAAAGUGGAAUUCCAUGUGUAGCGGUGAAAUGCGCAGAGAUAUGGAGGAACACCAGUGGCGAAGGCGACUUUCUGGUCUGUAACUGACGCUGAUGUGCGAAAGCGUGGGGAUCAAACAGGAUUAGAUACCCUGGUAGUCCACGCCGUAAACGAUGAGUGCUAAGUGUUAGGGGGUUUCCGCCCCUUAGUGCUGCAGCUAACGCAUUAAGCACUCCGCCUGGGGAGUACGACCGCAAGGUUGAAACUCAAAGGAAUUGACGGGGACCCGCACAAGCGGUGG